Molecule: long non-coding RNA, 2564 nt
Organism: Notothenia coriiceps (black rockcod)
Lineage: Eukaryota; Metazoa; Chordata; Actinopteri; Perciformes; Nototheniidae
Exons: 2
Source: RefSeq, a predicted model, not a curated record
AUUAUUACAAUUAAUUACAAAAUCUGUUAAUUGACUCAUCAGUAACUUACAUUAUUGAGUAUCUUCAAAACACCAGAGGGCAACAACCCUCUUUCACAUCAGCGGCAGGGAAUGAGGACAGAUCCAUUUACAGAAAUAAUCUAUUGUUAUUGACCAUGCUUUGUUAUAAAUGCAUGUAUGUGCUGAUACUGUAAUUUUCUUUCUUUUUAAUGCUUCUGCAGGGGAGCACAAAUGAGGCUCUCUACAAGCUGUACAACGUAGCAGCCAAUCACAGGCACCUCUACCACCACGCGUUCCCCGGGGGCGCUCAGGAAGACGAGGCUGCGGAGGAGCCGGUCAGGAAGAGGAACUGAUCACUGAGACAGACUCCAUCAGACACUCUUUUACUCUGGUGUCGGCCCACCAGUACAUCCACUACUCAAAGCUAAUAAGGGACUGUGUAAUGUUCAUGUAAAGGCAGAGCGUGGAGCUCGCCUUCGGCUCUUUUUUUUCCAUGAAAUAUCACCUGUACAGAAGCUCCGGGAUCGUCUUGGCAUAUUCAACCUCCAACAGAAGGUGAUAACUGGGCACAGGCCUGGGAUCCAAAGUGUCAGGGGCCCCCUUACCGUCACCUACGAUAUACUCAAAGAGACAUGCACCAAUCAGAAAGAUACACAAAAUGACUAAAGAGUGACUUUAAAAGACACACAAUUAUCACAAAGUGAUUUAAAUGACCGCAAUAGACACAAAAUGACUAUAAAGACACACAAAAUGCAUACAUUGUGUCACACAUUGACCACAAAGUGACUUCUAAUGACGACAAAAAGAUACAAUCACAACAAAGUAACAUAAGAUUCUUACGAAAAGGCUUAAAAUGAACACAAAAUGAUUAAAAAAAAAGUGAAUCAAUAGGACUACAAAGAGACACAAAAUGAGCACUUAGUGGCUGAACAUGAUUACAAAGAGAGCUUAAUGACCACUAAAAGACCCAAAAUGUCUACAAAAUGACUUAAAAUGACUCCAAAAAAACAUUAUCGCAAGAAGACUUAAAGUGACUAUAAAGACGCGAGGGGGGUUCUUCGCAUGUCCGUGCCCACGGCCCCCUGGCUCCAGUCUGUCGUUGACUUCAUUUCCAACACAUUUUUUUCCCCACCUCAUUCGGCUCCAACGCUGGUUUUCAGAGUAUACUCAGAUGUGUGAAACCCAUUCGUGCCGAUGGUUCUGUUCUUCGGAGUUUAGUGUUGAUCUACCAAACUGUGUACUGUGUGUUAAAAAAACAACGCUCCAUCAGCAUGGUUAGUGUCCGUCCCCUCUGGAGCUCUGAAGCAGGUCGUAAGAUUAUUCAGUUUAAUGGUUGUGACAAAGUGGUUUAGUGUCAUGGAUACGUGUAGACGAUGAUUUCACCGCGGCACUUUGAUUAUGAUUUCUGCAUCAGGGAGAAGUUUACACAUUAUAUUACAAUCUGCUGUUUGUGUGUUUUCUCUUUAAAGCUGAGGGAAUGAGUGUGUCUUGUUUUUUAUUGGAUGUUUGAGCAAAUCUGAGGAAUGUAGCUUUACACAGCUCGUUGUUAUUUUAAUGAUUCCACAUUAGUGACGUUAUAACUGUACCGAUUCCUUUGAGUUUAUACACUUCAAUGUUAAAAGCUUUCCAAUUUUAAGACUUUUUGCAUAAUAUUGCAUCAGCUUCUGCAGGAAUGAGUCCUAAAACCCAGAAAUAAGUCAGCAUUUUAGCACUUCUUGUUCUGUUUGUGCGGAAAUCAAUGGGUUAACUGAAGUAAAAGUAAAAAUACUAUGGUCCUAAAAUACUCCAUUACAAGUCAAACACCUAAAUUCAAGGAUUUACUAAAAGCACAUAAGUAUAAGCAUCAACAUAUAGUAGAAUUAUAUAUAUAUUUAAUUACUAAUAUUAUAAUUAUUUAAGCUUCGUCACACAUGUAGGCAUUUUUUCUGCAGAAUACGUUCCUGAUUAGACGAACUAAAUACACAUGAAUUCUCAUAUAUCUUCUUUUUUUUUAAAUGCUAAUAUAUGAACUAUCUAAUAAUAUCAUUAUAUAUUGUACAUACUAAUAUAUACAAAAAUACGAGGAUGUUUUGGCAGACUGAGUACUUUUACUCGUAGAACCUUAAGGAUAUUUUUCCUGAUUAUAGUUGAAUACUUGUAAUGGAGUAUUUUAAAUGUAUUAGCACUUUUGUGUAAGUAAAAGAUUCUUCCAGCAACACUUUUUUUGCAGCUGCAGAAGAAAGAUGAUAUUUCUUUUUCAGGAUCGCUCUCUGCAAAUUCAGCGAGUCUCUUCUGAUGUUUGAGUCUAUCAGUGUGAAAUAAUCACAUCACAGAAACACCCGUCCAGUCGUAAGGAAAGUAGCAUUAGUUAAUGUUGCACAUGCAUUUAAGAUUUUCAAGAUUGAAUCUGUUAUCAAAGUAUCACUACAAGGUAUUCUUGAUUUACUUCAUUCCUGAAAUCUUCUACGGAUUUGUUGUGUUAGAGCACUGAAAGGUGAAAAACCUCCAAGCUAGUUUUUGAACACGCACUGCAAAACAUCCGUUACAAAUACAUAAAUAAUAAAGUUGGACCAAAUUAAAGAAAA